Ictidomys tridecemlineatus (thirteen-lined ground squirrel) is the source of this 2198-nucleotide non-coding RNA. The record is from RefSeq and is a predicted model, not a curated record. Lineage: Eukaryota; Metazoa; Chordata; Mammalia; Rodentia; Sciuridae.
GGCUGACCCCAACAGCGCCGGAUGCACUCGCGGCAGAAGUUGUGGCCGCAGUCGGUCAUCACCGGGUCAGUGAAGUAGUCGAGGCAGAUGGCGCAGGUGGCCUCCUCUUGGAGUUCCCUCUUGGAAGCAUCUGUCAAUGCAGUCUCAACAUUUGACCCCUUUAAUCAUGGUUAUACUUUGAGGGAUUGCAUAGUGGAUGACUCUGAGUCACACGGAGGAGCCUGGCAGGUGGCCAUGGCAAGCAAAGGAAGGACCCUUCUGAGGAGACCCAGGUUUAAUUCCUGGGCCAGCCACCAAACCCAGAAGGGUAGAAGGAUUUUUUUUUUCUCAUGCUGUAGCCUUGCAAUGGAGACGAGGAAGCCUUUCACAGCAUCUCCCAUUGAGCAAAGCCUCCUCCACCGGCAGCACCCUGUGCAGCCGGUGCUCCCGAGCCUCCCUGCAGACAACACAGAUGGGAGUCUGGUCCUCCUGGCAGAACAGCUUGAGGGGCUCCUGGUGCAUCUGGCACAGGUCCCGCUUAUGGAGCCCAGGAUGCUGGCGUGCCAUCUCGGCCACCUUGCCACAGUGUGUCCCUGCCUGCCUCUGCUGCGUUUGGAGGGAGCCCCAUUUCUGCACUAAGGAAACACUUCCAUUGCAACAUGUUCCAAUAAAGAGCCUUUUAAACAUUGUCAGAAUAAUUUUUUUUUUCUUUAACAAAACCCCAGUACAACAAAAGAAGGAGAACUUCAGGGAGAUGACAGCUUUUCCAUUAGGGAGCAAAGUGUAGUGUGGAAAAGACAAGCAUGUGCAUAACUAUGCACGUGCACGCGCGCACGCACGCACACACACACACACACACAAAACUUACAUGCACACAUGAACACAAAACGUACACAGGUGUAUGCAAACAUGGGCUCACACUAAUACCCCCCAAAUGUGCAUAUUUACAAACACACGUGCACAUAGAAAACAUACAAAUGAACAAACACACCACAUAGGAACAGGCAUGUAAACAUGUGCCCUACACGGUAUAUGUGUACAAAUGCAUACACUAAAACAUACCAUACUCAGGUAUAUGUAAACAUGCAUGCCCACAGGUAUACAUGCAUGUGCACAUAUGCUUGCAUACAGAGACGUGCAGAUGCACAGGGCACAUGCAACACACAGGCACUUUUCCAAAUUUGAAGAGGCAGGACUCAUGCAUGGGGAGACCCUUCCCCUCCCUACCUCACAGGGUCCUUGUUGGGGCCAGUAGAGAGAACGAAUUUGAACCUGUCUAAGCUCCCAGAGCUCACUCCUACCCCACUCUUCUGCAAUCCCUAAAGCCGUGGCGUCUCUGGAGUCCACAGAUGUUCUGAAGUGGGUCCACGUUAAUUUUAAGAGAGCCCUCUGUAAGCAGAGCAGGUGACAUUAGCUCCCAGCCCCCAGUCCUCAGGAGCCUGAAGGGGGACAUGGCUGGGCAAGGGAAAGGUGGACAUGGAUGUCUGGCUUAGGCUGAAGCUCUGGUGGCCCUCAGGGUUCUGGGCACUCCUAAUGUCCCACUAAUGUCCCAUUGUCCAUCUGGGCUUCAUUUAAGGAACUGAGAAUACAGACUGGUUCAUGGUCCCAAGUGUGACCCUCCCCAGGGACAGAAAAGCCCAGCAGAAGCGGGAAGCACGGCAUUGGGGGGCGGUGGGGCGGGAGUCAGGCUUGACCAGACACGGCGGGAGGCGGUCUCUGAGGAGCUGGUACUCACAAAAGAGGGCCCUACACUGCGCCCGGCGCCCAGGCCCAGCACGCACACACGCGGCUGGGAAAGGCUGGGUUUGCGCGGCGGAGUCCAUGGGGUGACCGCCGGGCCUGGGAGCGCCGGGGUAGUGCGGCACAGGGGCUUUGGCACAGGGGCUUUGUGGCGUCAGCAGGACGAGCGGGUCAGCAAGGGGCAGGGGCCCCGGGGCGGGACUUGCAGGGAGAGCGAGAUGGAGGCGGGGCCUCUCUGCCAUGGGGCGGGGCUUGCUGGAAGCGGGAGGAGAUAGAGGCUGGGCCUCUCCAGCCCGAGCAACAGAAAUUGGACUAAGUGCCUCAUAAGAGACUUGAGUGGACUUCCUGCACCAGGAAGGCACAGCAGGUGGCGCCAUCCCUGAAGGAGAGUCACACCAGACACCAUGUCUGUCAGCAACUUGAUCUUGGACUUUCAGCCCUCCAGAACCUUGAGAAUAAAUUCUGUUGUCUAUAAAUCA